Molecule: ribosomal RNA, 253 nt
Filed under: uncultured bacterium
Lineage: Bacteria
Description: partial 16S ribosomal RNA
Rfam family: Bacterial small subunit ribosomal RNA
Source: RNAcentral
UACGUAGGCAGCAAACGUUGUUCGGAGUUACUGGGCGUAAAGAGUGCGUAGGCGGUUUGCCAAGUCUGGUGUGAAAUCUCCUGGCUUAACUGGGAGGGUGCGCCGGAUACUGGCAGGCUUGAGUGUGGGAGAGGAAAGCAGAAUUCCUGGUGUAGCGGUGAAAUGCGUAGAUAUCAGGAGGAAUACCUGUGGUGAAGACGGCUUUCUGGACCACAACUGACGCUGAGGCACGAAAGCGUGGGGAGCAAACAGG